Molecule: transfer RNA, 72 nt
Filed under: Ictidomys tridecemlineatus (thirteen-lined ground squirrel)
Lineage: Eukaryota; Metazoa; Chordata; Mammalia; Rodentia; Sciuridae
Description: Spermophilus tridecemlineatus (thirteen-lined ground squirrel) tRNA
Rfam family: tRNA
About the family: Transfer RNA (tRNA) molecules are approximately 80 nucleotides in length. Their secondary structure includes four short double-helical elements and three loops (D, anti-codon, and T loops).
Source: Rfam by way of RNAcentral
GGGGGUGUGGCUCAGUGGCAGAGCGCUUGCCUAGCAGGUGUGAGGCACUGGGUUUGAUUCUCAGCACCACAU